This 504-nucleotide ribosomal RNA is filed under the name Salmonella enterica. RNAcentral describes it as "partial 23S ribosomal RNA". It matches the Rfam family "Bacterial large subunit ribosomal RNA", at positions 1292 to 1789 of the family's 2925-position model. Lineage: Bacteria; Pseudomonadati; Pseudomonadota; Gammaproteobacteria; Enterobacterales; Enterobacteriaceae. The record is from RNAcentral.
GAAUGCUGACAUAAGUAACGAUAAAGCGGGUGAAAAGCCCGCUCGCCGGAAGACCAAGGGUUCCUGUCCAACGUUAAUCGGGGCAGGGUGAGUCGACCCCUAAGGCGAGGCCGAAAGGCGUAGUCGAUGGGAAACGGGUUAAUAUUCCCGUACUUGGUGUUACUGCGAAGGGGGGACGGAGAAGGCUAUGUUGGCCGGGCGACGGUUGUCCCGGUUUAAGCGUGUAGGUGUGUGUUCCAGGUAAAUCCGGUUCACUUUAACACUGAGGCGUGACGACGAGGCACUACGGUGCUGAAGCAACAAAUGCCCUGCUUCCAGGAAAAGCCUCUAAGCAUCAGGUAACAUCAAAUCGUACCCCAAACCGACACAGGUGGUCAGGUAGAGAAUACCAAGGCGCUUGAGAGAACUCGGGUGAAGGAACUAGGCAAAAUGGUGCCGUAACUUCGGGAGAAGGCACGCUGACACGUAGGUGAAGUGAUUUACUCAUGGAGCUGAAGUCAGUCG